Long non-coding RNA from Pyrus x bretschneideri (Chinese white pear), 1659 nucleotides. RefSeq lists it as uncharacterized. The transcript has 2 exons. The record is from RefSeq and is a predicted model, not a curated record. NCBI's taxonomy places the organism in Eukaryota, Viridiplantae, Streptophyta, Magnoliopsida, Rosales, Rosaceae.
CAAGAGUGGAUCCGCUCGUAUUUAGGAAUUACAUGUAAUCCUUCCCAUCUAAAAAUUCAUGAUGCAACCCAAGAAUGUCAUACAUUGGUCGUUCAUGACAACUUCAAACGACCUUCGAUGGCUGUUCUGCUUGUUGUGUUCGAUUUGUAUCGACCUCUCGAAUCCUCUGUCUUUUAUAUAUUUCUAAAAAUAUGCCGCUCGGUUGACCCGAAAGGGUAAUUUCGGUAUUUUGAUAAAAUUGUGCCAAUCUGUUAAGAAUUGGAAAAAUCCAAGAGUACCGGGGCCUCCGGGAGGUCGAAAGGAGUCCAACGCAACCGACGGUGCGCAAAUCCGAUGUCGUAUGGGGAAAUAAACGUCCUGCAAGCGUUCGAAAAAUUGCCGAUUGAUGUGCGCGGUUGAUUUAAAAGUCGAUUUUGGAGCACAAAAAAGCGUUUUUUUGAAAUUUCCAAGGGGCUGGGGCUCCUCCGGAACCCCGCCACCCCAUUCGUCUCGAAAAGUUAUGCGGAUUCAAAAAAAAAAUCAUCCGAAUCGGACACCCGAGGGCAAAGUUAUUGCCCUUCAAAGUUCAAACCACCAACACAAACCCUCUCGCGUCAAGUGCUGGUCCGCGCUCAACCAACAGGAACAGCCAAUGGACAAAAGUACCCUCCCCAACAAUCCAGCUCAGGAGAUUUUCGAGGGCAUUAUUGUAAAAACGUACAUAUGGAACUAUUAAAAGGCGUUAUACUUCCUCCGUUCAUUCUUAUGCUCAUCCACCCACGCCAAAACGUGAACUUCUCCUCUCUCUGCUGUCUAUUUGUAAGAAGCGCCGCCAUGCUUACGAGUCGGACAAUUCCAGAUUCUGUUCAGACCGUUUCCAGGUUCCCUAUUGCACACUAAAAGGAUGACCAUCACGUGACUGCUUCAACAAAACAAAUGCCCUUAUCCUCAUAUUUGCACUGAUAAAAGAAAGGGUUCUUUUCUCUCCCAAUUUCCAGGAGCAAGCCGACGCAUUGCAACUUAUCAAAAUUGAAGAGGGAUGAAAAUCCAUGUUUCUAUUCCACUCUUCCACUCUCCAGGUUGUUGGUUUGCGGUGGAAGCAUGAAUUUGAUCUUUAAUUUUCAUCAAUUGCAAUAGAGAUUUGGGUACUUUCAAAUUUGGUUGAUAUAUCACUUUGGAGAUGAAAUUUCUAGCUGGAAUCUAGUAGGGUAGAAAAUGACAAUAUGGAGGCCUCGCUGCAGCAGGUAGACCAACUUGAGUGUGAUUUAGGCGUUCUAUUCUUUCAAGCUUUGGUCAAGGUGUCUAAACUCAUGAAGUGUCUGGCAAGGAGUUAAAAGGUUUCUUUCAUUUCUUUUCUUCUAAUGUUUUCAAUAAAUGGGCUUUUAAGCCGUCGUCGAUUACGAAAUAGGGAAAUGAAAACAGAAGAGCAAAAAGAAGAAAAGGAGAACUAAUCAAUUUUCUGGAAGGAGAAACGGAGGGAAGAAGGCAAUGGCAAAGAAAGAGAUUUUCAGGGCAAAGAAAGAGAUUUUCAGGCUUUUAUAAACUUAGUUUUCUUUUAAUUUUAUGAAUUCAAUAAUAUUUUUGAUUAUGUUUCGGAACUAAUUUUCCUUAGCUAGGGCUACGUUGUAGCCUUGACUAUGAAUGCUUAAAUUAUGAAUUGAAUUAUUUUCAAGUUUUCAA